Long non-coding RNA from Perognathus longimembris pacificus (Pacific pocket mouse), 266 nucleotides. RefSeq lists it as uncharacterized. Lineage: Eukaryota; Metazoa; Chordata; Mammalia; Rodentia; Heteromyidae. The transcript has 3 exons. The record is from RefSeq and is a predicted model, not a curated record.
GUUACUUUUCAUCUCACUGGUAUAAAACUUGGUGUAAAAAUUGCUUAUGAAGUUUAUAGGUUACAAGGUUUGCUACCUACCCAUGCUGUCUUAGAUAACAUGGUGUACCAACUUGGCUUUCUCCCUUUGAAUGUUUGUGGAGCAUGUCAUUUCUGAAAGGCAGAAACAUAAAGGAGCUUCUCAAUUGCCUUCGAUUGAUUCUUGCUUUGUUUAAAAGAUAAUUGAACCCUGAAGGGGCUGGGGAUAUGGCCUAGUGGCAAGAGUGC